GACGUAGGGCGCGAGCGUUGUCCGGAUUUAUUGGGCGUAAAGAGCUCGUAGGCGGUUUGUCGCGUCGUCUGUGAAAACCCACGGCUCAACUGUGGGCUUGCAGUCGAUACGGGCAGGCUAGAGUUCGGUAGGGGAGACUGGAAUUCCUGGUGUAGCGGUGAAAUGCGCAGAUAUCAGGAGGAACACCGGUGGCGAAGGCGGGUCUCUGGGCCGAUACUGACGCUCAUGCACGAAAGCGUGGGGAGCAAACAGG
RNAcentral lists this ribosomal RNA (253 nucleotides) under uncultured bacterium. Its description in RNAcentral is "partial 16S ribosomal RNA". It matches the Rfam family "Bacterial small subunit ribosomal RNA", at positions 524 to 776 of the family's 1533-position model. The record is from RNAcentral.